Molecule: unclassified non-coding RNA, 329 nt
Filed under: fungal sp.
Lineage: Eukaryota; Fungi
Description: partial internal transcribed spacer region
Rfam family: Eukaryotic small subunit ribosomal RNA (bases 1-46)
Source: RNAcentral
AAGUCGUAACAAGGUUUCCGUAGGUGAACCUGCGGAAGGAUCAUUCAACAUAGUAUUCAUCUUUCGAGAUGGAACUGGUUACCUUUCAAGAGGAGUUGUUGCUUUCGAGUGAUGACGUCUUGCUCUUUCGGGAGUCAAGAUAUGAGGCUGAUGAGAAGUUUUUCUAACUUUUUCAGCGCACACAGUCCUUAAUCCUUGACAAAUUAAAGUGAUGUUUGAACAAAGUUUGUUUAACCACUAUUGUUACAAUUCUAUUCUAACUAAAUUUACAAAAUCCUUCGUGGAUUAGUAACCAUAAACAACUUUUGACAACGGAUCUCUUGGUUCUG